This is a long non-coding RNA of Ostrinia nubilalis (European corn borer), 441 nucleotides long. RefSeq lists it as uncharacterized. The record is from RefSeq and is a predicted model, not a curated record. The transcript is spliced from 3 exons. Lineage: Eukaryota; Metazoa; Arthropoda; Insecta; Lepidoptera; Crambidae.
GCACUAUGAGAGAGAGAGAGGGGACUAUAGGAAAGAGAGAGCACUAUAGGAGAGAGAGGAUGGUAUAUCGCGCACUGCUAGCACGGCACUAUCCCGCAAAGAGAGCUACAAGGCGCAGCGGCAGCACUAUAGGAGAGAGAAGAAGCGAGCCGCGUCGGCACUACUACAUUCGAUAGAGGACCCGUCGGUCGUCGUGCUCGCUGACUGGCUCAAGGUCCGAGGCUCGCUCAAGUCGUGGACGAAGCUAUGGUGCGUCCUCAAACCCGGUCUGCUGCUGCUUUACAAGAGCCCUAAAGCAAAGAGCAGUCACUGGGUGGGCACAGUUCUGCUGACGUCGUGCCAGGUGAUAGAGCGUCCCAGCAAGAAGGACGGCUUCUGCUUCAAGCUCUACCACCCUCUGGAGCAGAGCAUCUGGGCGCCAAGGGGGCCCCAUAACGAGAC